RNAcentral lists this ribosomal RNA (676 nucleotides) under uncultured bacterium. Its description in RNAcentral is "bacterial SSU rRNA". It matches the Rfam family "Bacterial small subunit ribosomal RNA", at positions 106 to 788 of the family's 1533-position model. The record is from RNAcentral.
GUGAGUAACACGUAGACAACCUACCCUUAAGCGGGGGACAACCCAGGGAAACUUGGGCUAAUACCGCAUGAGACCACGAACUGGGAUGUUAGUGGUAAAAGGCCAAGUUGAAAGAUUUGGUUGCUUAGGGAUGGGUCUGCGGCCUAUCAGGUAGUUGGUGGGGUAAAGGCCUACCAAGCCAGAGACGGGUAGCCGGUCUGAGAGGACGAACGGCCACACUGGAACUGAGGCACGGUCCAGACUUCUACGGGAGGCAGCAGUGGGGAAUCUUGCACAAUGGGCGAAAGCCUGAUGCAGCGACGCCGCGUGGAGGACGAAGGCCUUCGGGUUGUAAACUUCUUUUGUAGGGGACAAUGAUGAUGGUACCCUAUGAAUAAGCCACGGCUAACUCUGUGCCAGCAGCCGCGGUAAGACAGAGGUGGCGAGCGUUGUUCGGAAUUACUGGGCUUAAAGGGCGCGUAGGCGGUGGUGCAAGUCUGGGGUGGAAUUCUAUGGCUUAACUAUAGGACUGCCCUGGAAACUGCAUUACUUGAGUCGGUGAGGGGAAGGCGGAAUUCCUGGUGUAGCGGUGAAAUGCGUAGAUAUCAGGAGGAAGGCCUGUGGUGAAGACGGCCUUCUGGCACUUGACUGACGCUGAGGCGCGAAAGCGUGGGUAGCAAACAGGAUUAGAUACCCU